RNAcentral lists this ribosomal RNA (143 nucleotides) under Ledella ultima. RNAcentral describes it as "partial small subunit ribosomal RNA". Lineage: Eukaryota; Metazoa; Mollusca; Bivalvia; Nuculanida sp.; Nuculanidae. The record is from RNAcentral.
UUUAAUUAUCAUAUAUAAAAGUGAAAUAUAAAAUAUAAAUUAAUUUUAGUUGGGGCAACUGGGAGGGAUAAAAAUCUUUUAUUAAAUCAUUUAUAAUAAUAUUUAUAUUUAUGAUCCAAAUUAGUUAAUUUUGAACUUAGAAU